This is a long non-coding RNA of Scomber japonicus (chub mackerel), 942 nucleotides long. RefSeq lists it as uncharacterized. The transcript is spliced from 3 exons. NCBI's taxonomy places the organism in Eukaryota, Metazoa, Chordata, Actinopteri, Scombriformes, Scombridae. The record is from RefSeq and is a predicted model, not a curated record.
CUUAAAGUCCUUAAAUAUACUAAGAAACACAAAUGAUGAAGAAAUGUGUAACGGUCAGCACUUCACACUAAAAUGACAGUUGAUAAGAGGAAGUUGAUAAGAGGAAAUAAAAACCUCAUAAAAAAGCUGCAAAAGAGAAUGGCCUCAAACAUACUCAGAAACACGAGGAGCUGCUGUCGACGCAACUCUUUUCUCUUCAUUCUCAACGACCGACUCAAACACUGAUAUGUCUGCUGCCACCAAACUGAAGGCCCUGAAGGUCUGGCUGGGGAUGUGUCUGGCCUUCACUCACUUGUUGGCAUCCAAAGACGGGACCGUGGGAGCUGUGGCUCCUCUGGAGCUGAAGAGAGCCCAGCAGUAUGCAGUGGAUGUGAUUCUUGAUCCUGAUACAGCACAUCCUGAACUCAUCCUGUCUGAUGAUGGGAAACAAGUAUAUCAUGGUGAUGUGGAGAAGUAUUUCAAAGACAACUCAAAGAGAUUUUUUUGACUACUAAUGUUUUAGGAAAGCAGAGUUUGACUUCAGGCAAAUUUUACUUUGAGGUUCAGGUUAGAGGAAAGAAUUGCUGGGCUGUAGGAGUGGCCAGAGAGUCGAUCGACAGGAAACGAAAAAUCUCACUGAGUCCUCGGUAUGGUUUCUGGACUAUAUGGUUGAGAAAUGGAAAUGAGUACAAAGCUCUUGCUCGGCCUUCAGUCCGUCUCUCUCUGCAGUCUCAGCCUCAGAAGGUGGGGGUGUUUGUGGAUUAUACAGAGGGUCUGGUGUCCUUUUAUGACGUAGAUGCUGCAGUUCUUAUCUACUCCUUUACUGACUGCGCAUUCACUGAGAAACUCUACCCAUUCUUCAGUCCCUGUAAUAAUAAUGGUGGUAGAAACUCCGCUCCUCUGAUCAUCUCUCCUGUAUAUUAAACUGCCUGAUCUAGUUUCUAUGAUCAGCAACUUAUUAAG